RNAcentral lists this ribosomal RNA (466 nucleotides) under Glabella rosadoi. RNAcentral's name for it is "partial 16S ribosomal RNA". It matches the Rfam family "Bacterial large subunit ribosomal RNA", at positions 1845 to 2598 of the family's 2925-position model. Lineage: Eukaryota; Metazoa; Mollusca; Gastropoda; Neogastropoda; Marginellidae. The record is from RNAcentral.
AUGGAGAAUCGAGCCUGCCCAAUGAAUAUUAAAUGGCCGCGGUACUUUGACCGUGCGAAGGUAGCAUAAUCAUUUGCCUUAUAAUUAAAGGCUGGAAUGAAUGGUGUGACAAGAGUGUUACUGUCUCUUAAUAGUUUGGUAGAAUUUUAGUUUAAAGUGAAGACGCUUUAAUAUAAUUGCUAGACAAGAAGACCCUAUCGAGCUUUAAUUUAUGAUAAAGAUAUUUUGUUAUACAGUUUUUGUUGGGGCGACUGAGGGACAAUUUUAGCUUCCCUUAUCUUUAUAUAAACUGAUUAGUGAUGAUCCAUAAUUUAUGAUUAAUGGAAUUAGUUACCGUAGGGAUAACAGCAUAAUUUUAUUUGAGAGUUCAUAUCGAAAAUAAAGUUUGUGACCUCGAUGUUGGAUUAAAAUUUCCUAAAGGUGUAGUCGUUUUUAAGGGUAGGUCUGUUCGACCUUUAAAAUUUUA